AGUAACACGUAGGUUACGUACCCAAGAGUCGAGGAUAACCUGGAGAAAUCCAGAAUAAUACUCGAUAGUCCCUUCGGGGUAAAGAUUUAUCGCUCUUGGAACGGCCUGCGGGAUAUCAGCUUGUUGGUGAGGUAAUGGCUCACCAAGGCUAUGACGUCUAGGGGAGGUGAGAGCCUGACCCCCACCGAUGGAACUGAGACACGGUCCAUACUCCUACGGGAGGCCGCAGUCGAGAAUCUUCCGCAAUGGACGAAAGUCUGACGGAGCGACGCCGCGUGAUUGAUGAAGCUUUUCGGAGUGUAAAGAUCUUUUAUAUGGGAAGAAGUUUAUUGACGGUACCAUAUGAAUAAGGGGCUCCUAAAUUCGUGCCAGCAGGAGCGGUAAUACGAGUGCCCCAAGCGUUACCCGGAUUCACUGGGCGUAAAGGGUACGUAGGCGGCUUAAUUAGUCGAUUGUUAAAGCACCGGGCUCAACCCGGGACAGGCAAUCGAAACGGCUAAGCUAGAGGAUAUGAGAGGUAAGUGGAACUCAUGGUGUAGAGGUGAAUUCGUUGAUAUCAUGGGGAACACCAAAGCGAAGGCAACUUACUGGCAUACUCCUGACGCUGAGGUACGAAAGCGUGGGUAGCGAAUGGGAUUAGAUACCCCAGUAGUCCACGCCCUAAACGUUCUGAACUAGCUUUUUGGAGUAUCGACCCUCUGAGAGGCGAAGCUAACGCGUUAAGUUCAGCGCCUGGGUAGUACGAGCGCAAGCUUAAAACUCAAAGGAAUAGACGGGGACUCGCACAAGCGGUGGAUCAUGUGGCUUAAUUCGAUACUAAGCGAAGAACCUUACCCAGAUUAGAAACUUAUCUGACAAUCUUGGGAAACCAAGACUUUCUUCGGACAGAUAAGCAGGUGAUGCAUGGCCGUCGUCAGUUCGUGGCUUGAGCUGUUCCCUUAAGUGGGGAAACGAACGCAACCCUCGUCGUGUGUUACAAGUGUCACACGAGACUGCUCUCUCACGAGAGAGGAAGGUGGGGAUGACGCCAGGUCAGCAUGUCCCUUGAUGUCUGGGGCUGCACACGUGAUACAAUGGCCGUUACAACGGGACGCAAAGUCGUAAGGCGGAGCAAAUCCUUAUAAAGACGGCCCCAGUUCGGAUAGUAGUCUGCAACUCGACUACUUGAAGUCGGAAUCGCUAGUAAUCCCGAAUCAGCAACGUCGGGGUGAAUACGUUCUCGAGUCUUGUACUCACCGCCCGUCAAGUCAGGGAAGCCGGGAGUACCCGAAGUCUCACUUUAUUGUGGGCCGAAGGUAAAUUCGGUAACAAGGACUAAGUCGUAACAAGGUAGCC
This 1335-nucleotide ribosomal RNA is filed under the name uncultured bacterium. RNAcentral's name for it is "16S ribosomal RNA". It matches the Rfam family "Bacterial small subunit ribosomal RNA". The record is from RNAcentral.